GACGAACGCUGGCGGCGUGCCUAAUACAUGCAAGUUGAGCGCUGAAGGUUGGUACUUGUACCAACUGGAUGAGCAGCGAACGGGUGAGUAACGCGUGGGGAAUCUGCCUUUGAGCGGGGGACAACAUUUGGAAACGAAUGCUAAUACCGCAUAAAAACUUUAAACACAAGUUUUAAGUUUGAAAGAUGCAAUUGCAUCACUCAAAGAUGAUCCCGCGUUGUAUUAGCUAGUUGGUGAGGUAAAGGCUCACCAAGGCGAUGAUACAUAGCCGACCUGAGAGGGUGGUCGGCCACAUUGGGACUGAGACACGGCCCAAACUCCUACGGGAGGCAGCAGUAGGGAAUCUUCGGCAAUGGACGAAAGUCUGACCGAGCAACGCCGCGUGAGUGAAGAAGGAUUUCGGAUCGUAAAACUCUGUUGGUAGAGAAGAACGUUGGUGAGAGUGGAAAGCUCAUCAAGUGACGGUAACUACCCAGAAAGGGACGGCUAACUACGUG
This 497-nucleotide ribosomal RNA is filed under the name uncultured bacterium. RNAcentral's name for it is "partial 16S ribosomal RNA". It matches the Rfam family "Bacterial small subunit ribosomal RNA", at positions 28 to 507 of the family's 1533-position model. The record is from RNAcentral.